UGACCAAGCUUUUCCAGCAGCGGGACUUCUACAAUAAGAAGUCUCCAUCCGAGCUUCCAUGACAACUGAUCUUCGAUCGAGCUUCUACAAUAAUCGACCUCCUUUCGGACUCCUACGAGAGCUGGACUCCGUCCGAACUUCUACAGCAGAACCGUAUCCCAGACUCCUCCAACGUUCGACCUUUCGUAGUGUCCUCAAGACUCCUCCAGC
RNAcentral lists this long non-coding RNA (210 nucleotides) under Elaeis guineensis (African oil palm). RNAcentral describes it as "long non-coding RNA (EGUI_LNC035931)". The record is from RNAcentral. Lineage: Eukaryota; Viridiplantae; Streptophyta; Magnoliopsida; Arecales; Arecaceae.